GCUGCGAUGGCCGAGUAGUUAAGGCGUUGGACUCGAAAUCCAAUGUGCGAUGCCCUCACAGGUUCGAAUCCUGUUCGCAGCG
Molecule: transfer RNA, 82 nt
Filed under: Octopus vulgaris (common octopus)
Lineage: Eukaryota; Metazoa; Mollusca; Cephalopoda; Octopoda; Octopodidae
Also listed under: 1 other name
Rfam family: tRNA
About the family: Transfer RNA (tRNA) molecules are approximately 80 nucleotides in length.
Source: Rfam by way of RNAcentral